This 157-nucleotide non-coding RNA is filed under the name human gut metagenome. The record is from RNAcentral.
GGGGAUGCUGCUCAAAAGGGAAUCAGGUGAGAAUCCUGAACAGUCCCGCUGCUGUAAGUCCGAUAAAGCAUUUUUGCAAUUAAGUCACUGAAUAUCGGUAAGAUAUUUGGGAAGACGCAAAAGUGAGGAUAAGUCAGAAGACCUGCCAUUUUUAAUA